This 186-nucleotide ribosomal RNA is filed under the name uncultured bacterium. RNAcentral describes it as "partial 16S ribosomal RNA". It matches the Rfam family "Bacterial small subunit ribosomal RNA", at positions 1317 to 1500 of the family's 1533-position model. The record is from RNAcentral.
UGUAUGAAGUUGGAAUCGCUAGUAAUCGCGGAUCAGCAUGCCGCGGUGAAUACGUUCCCGGGCCUUGUACACACCGCCCGUCACACCAUGAGAGUCGGGAACACCCGAAGUCCGUAGUCUAACUUUCACGAGAGGACGCGGCCGAAGGUGGGUUCGAUAAUUGGGGUGAAGUCGUAACAAGGUACC